This 346-nucleotide unclassified non-coding RNA is filed under the name soil metagenome. Its description in RNAcentral is "partial contains 5.8S ribosomal RNA, internal transcribed spacer 2, and large subunit ribosomal RNA". The stretch from base 1 to 120 matches the Rfam family "5.8S ribosomal RNA", at positions 35 to 154 of the family's 154-position model. The record is from RNAcentral.
GAUGAAGAACGUAGCGAAAUGCGAUAAGUAAUGUGAAUUGCAGAAUCCAGUGAAUCAUCGAGUCUUUGAACGCACAUUGCGCCCCCUGGUAUUCCGGGGGGCAUGCCUGUCCGAGCGUCAUUGCUGCCCUCAAGCACGGCUUGUGUGUUGGGCCCCGUCCUCCGAUCCCGGGGGACGGGCCCGAAAGGCAGCGGCGGCACCGCGUCCGGUCCUCGAGCGUAUGGGGCUUUGUCACCCGCUCUGUAGGCCCGGCCGGCGCUUGCCGAUCAACCCAAAUUUUUAUCCAGGUUGACCUCGGAUCAGGUAGGGAUACCCGCUGAACUUAAGCAUAUCAAUAAGCGGAGGA